GGGUUCUGGGUCGUACCGACAGGUUCUGGGCCAUGUCCAUGAGUUUUGGACCAUGCCGGCAGGUUCUGGACCAUGCCAGUGGGUUCUAGACCGUGCUGGCAGGAAGACAUCGGUCAGCAUUAUGAAUACGGAGCCUGGGCGUGCCCUACGUGCUCGGGCCUCUAGUCAUAGCUGGCAUCGAAAGCAUCUAGCCCUUGUGCACCCAGUACAC
RNAcentral lists this long non-coding RNA (211 nucleotides) under Elaeis guineensis (African oil palm). RNAcentral's name for it is "long non-coding RNA (EGUI_LNC061828)". The record is from RNAcentral. Lineage: Eukaryota; Viridiplantae; Streptophyta; Magnoliopsida; Arecales; Arecaceae.